GGGAAUAUUGCACAAUGGGGGAAACCCUGAUGCAGCGACGCCGCGUGAGUGAAGAAGUAUUUCGGUACGUAAAGCUCUAUCAGCAGGGAAGAUAAUGACGGUACCUGACUAAGAAGCCCCGGCUAACUACGUGCCAGCAGCCGCGGUAAUACGUAGGGGGCAAGCGUUAUCCGGAUUUACUGGGUGUAAAGGGAGCGUAGGUGGCAGGGCAAGUCAGAUGUGAAAACCCGGGGCUCAACCCCGGGAGUGCAUUUGAAACUGUCCAGCUGGAGUGCAGGAGAGGUAAGCGGAAUUCCUAGUGUAGCGGUGAAAUGCAUAGAUAUCACGCAGAACUCCGAUUGCGAAGGCAGCAUACCGGCGCCCUACUGACGCUGAGGCACGAAAGCGUGGGUAUCGAACAG
Molecule: ribosomal RNA, 401 nt
Filed under: uncultured bacterium
Lineage: Bacteria
Description: bacterial SSU rRNA
Rfam family: Bacterial small subunit ribosomal RNA
Source: RNAcentral